RNAcentral lists this ribosomal RNA (473 nucleotides) under uncultured Desulfovibrio sp. RNAcentral describes it as "bacterial SSU rRNA". It matches the Rfam family "Bacterial small subunit ribosomal RNA", at positions 916 to 1381 of the family's 1533-position model. The record is from RNAcentral. Lineage: Bacteria; Pseudomonadati; Thermodesulfobacteriota; Desulfovibrionia; Desulfovibrionales; Desulfovibrionaceae.
ACGGGGCCCGCACAAGCGGUGGAGUAUGUGGUUUAAUUCGACGCAACGCGCAGAACCUUACCUAGGCUUGACAUCCCGGGAAUUUGCUGGAAACAGUGAAGUGCUUUCAUUAGAAAGAGCCCGGUGACAGGUGCUGCAUGGCUGUCGUCAGCUCGUGUCGUGAGAUGUUGGGUUAAGUCCCGCAACGAGCGCAACCCUCGCCUUUAGUUGCCAGCAUUCAGUUGGGCACUCUAAAGGGACUGCCGGUGUCAAACCGGAGGAAGGUGGGGAUGACGUCAAGUCCUCAUGGCCUUUAUGUCUAGGGCUACACACGUACUACAAUGGCAGGUACAAAGGGCAGCGACACAGCGAUGUGAUGCGAAUCCCGAAAAGCCUGUCUCAGUCCGGAUCGGAGUCUGCAACUCGACUCCGUGAAGUUGGAAUCGCUAGUAAUCGUGGAUCAGCAUGCCACGGUGAAUACGUUCCCGGGCCUU